GGGCUCGUGGCUCAGUGGUAGAGCGUUUGCUUGACAUGGAGAAGGUCCCAGGUUCAAUCCCCAGCAACCUCA
RNAcentral lists this transfer RNA (72 nucleotides) under Sphaerodactylus townsendi. RNAcentral's name for it is "tRNA-Val". It matches the Rfam family "tRNA". Rfam says of the family: Transfer RNA (tRNA) molecules are approximately 80 nucleotides in length. The record is from RNAcentral. Lineage: Eukaryota; Metazoa; Chordata; Lepidosauria; Squamata; Sphaerodactylidae.